Molecule: long non-coding RNA, 457 nt
Filed under: Mytilus galloprovincialis (Mediterranean mussel)
Lineage: Eukaryota; Metazoa; Mollusca; Bivalvia; Mytilida; Mytilidae
Source: RNAcentral
UACACAGAUAUUACUGUCAACUUAACUGUCAAAAUAUGAGUCCAAUCUUUUAUCUUUGUCUGUAUCAGGAAAUCUUUCGGAAUCCAAUAUGAAUAUUACGUUCACUACUAAGGUCACAAUCCAGUAUGAUGUUGUUUGUAGAAUAAAAAUGUCAAUCCAAAUGCUAUGAAUAUUAAUGUCUAUCGAUGUCUAAGUCCAAGUGUAAGUGUGGGAGUUUAACUUUAGUGUCUGUAUAUAUAUAGUUGUCAUGGAAGAUUCUAGAACAGUCUAUAAUGGAACAUCCUAGAAAGUUACAACAGAAGUUUCUAGUAAAAUGUAGAAGUUUAUAUAACGCAUCUUUUAUUAGGAUAAUUCUGGAAAGUUCCAAUCAUUCUGUAAUUGUUCCAGUGAUUUCUAAACUGCACAGUUCUAAGAUUAUUCUGUAAACAACUAUCAGGCCACACAACACAAAUCAGGC